RNAcentral lists this long non-coding RNA (2971 nucleotides) under Homo sapiens (human). RNAcentral describes it as "PREDICTED lncRNA (TCONS_00011608)". Lineage: Eukaryota; Metazoa; Chordata; Mammalia; Primates; Hominidae. The record is from RNAcentral.
AUCAUUUAAGUCCAAUAAUCAGUAAGAUUUCACCCUACCAGAAUACACUUUUUUUUAUUAACUGUCUGGACCUUUGCUGAUUACAUUGUCCGGAAUGUGGAGUAUCGCAUUUGAGAAGAGGAUUGGAUCCUAGCCAUAACAUAAAUAUAAGGGUAAUUACAUCCAUGCUGAGAAAGAUUUAGGAAUGAUAGUAAGUUCAUUUGAGUGAGUGGUUUGGGCCAAACUUGAUAGAGAAUAGUCCAGGAAGACAUUUACUAUAAACAGUAGAUUAAAUGUUCUUGCCUGGUUAAUUACAUUUGAACUCUGUUAAUGACUGAAUCACUCAAACUGCUUAAUUGUAUUAUUAGAUGCACAUUUAAGUUAUGUAUUACAUGUCUUUAGUGGUGAUCAGAAUUUUAUCAGUUCCUCUGUCUUUCUUUAUACCAAGUAUGACUCAUAAACCCAGUAUUAAUUUGCCAAGAGAUUGGCAUACUAUUUGUAUAUAUGCUUUUCUUUCAAAUAAUCUGGAUUCCCAAUGCCCACAAUCAUUGAUCCUAAAGAAAAUGUGAGAGUAGGUAGAUAAACUCAAACAUCCCUACCAUCACCCCUGGUAGGAAAUCACUGGUGUAAUGUAUGAUAUUAACAUCUGCACCAAUUACUCUUAUAGGUGGAACAAUCCAAAGUUUUAAUCAGAGAAGGUGGUGUUCAGUUGCUGCUUACAAUAGUUGAUACCCCAGUAUUUGGAGAUGCAGUGGAUAACAGUAAUUGGUAAAAAGGAUUUGUCCUCACAACUUUCCAGUGUAUUUGGGGUACUGGGGUGGUUAAACUUUCUCUUCUUAACAUUUUAAAACUCUUCUUAGCAAAGGUCACCAAACUUCAAGUAACAUGACAGGUUUGUAUACCAACUUUGCCACUUAUUUGACAAAGUUUAACUUCAAAGUUAAACAAAGAAGUUUAACUUCUUUGAACCCAUUUACUUUUUGAUAAAAUGGAGAUAAUACCUAUCAUAAAAUUGUUUUGAAGACAUAUUCCAAAAUAACGUAGCUAGAUAGAAGAAUUCUCAUUAUUGGAAGAAAUUUAAAAUGCUUUGCUUUAAUUUUAUCCAUUUGUAUAAAUUCUAUCACAAUCCUAAUUUAAACCUGAUAUUUAGACCUUCAGUUUUUCCAUAAGUCCUAAGUGAAGAAAACAACUAUGAAAUUUUAGUCUGAAGUAAUUAUCUUAGUAUUUUAUAAAUAACUUUAAUUUUGUUUGAAUUCACAUUGUUUUUGAGGUAUUUUUCUGUCAACUCUUAAAACUCCUAAGUUCAUCAUGAAGUUUUUAUAUUAUUUAAGUAAUCUCUCAUUUGAAAUUUGAAACUGAAUAUAAUCGUUUUCAUAUUAUGAAGUGUGUUAUUAAUACACUUACUAGUGCCAAUAGUAUGCUAAUAAUUUAGCUGUGUUUCAACAAUAAAUAUUUUCUUUCAUUUGGAAAGUUUUGAAAUAAUGAAUAAAGAUUUAUUCAACACAAUUUAUAUUUUUGAAUCUUUAUAUAGAAUAACUUGACAUAUCUUCCAUUGGUUAAUUCAUUUUGCCUAUUUGAAAAUAUUGAUUAUUGUCCUUUAACAGUCAUCAGUUAAUUCAUAUGUAGAAUUGCAACUUAAUUGUUUUGUUUAUUUGCAUUCUAUAGCUGGCAGCCUGCUAUCAAUUACAUUGAUAGUAAAUUUGAGGACUACCUAAAUGCAGAAUCGCAAGUGAACAGAUGUCAGAUGCCUGGUAACAGGGUGCAGUGUUGUUUAUACUUCAUUGCUCCUUCAGGACAUGGCUCUGUUCACGGAAAGGGCCUGGGAGCUGCAACACCUCAACAGCAACGAGCACACCUGCUACCUAGAACUUGGUUUCUAAAAACCAUCCUCCUCUAAAAGGAAACAGAGCUCUUUGAAGAAAUGGUAAUUUCAAAGCUAGAGCACAGAAAGUAUAAGAUGAGCCCAGAAUAUCUUUUUGUACAAGAAAGUAAGGCAAUGCUCAAAGAAUGAUGGAGACAUGCCCAAAAAAAGCAGAGAAGCCAACUUGAAAAGAUUCCAACAGGCCAAAUAUGGGACAAUUUGAACAUCAGAAUAAAAUGGUGACAGUCACAGAAUUAUAACCCAUUGAAGAAAGGAAUUCAUGACAUCAUAUUAAUAUAAAUAAUAAUUGAAUAUUGAAAUUCGUUAAAGGAAAUGAGAUAUUUAUGUAGUCUUAAGGUAUCUUCUCACAAAUUAUGUAUUACUUACAAAGGGGAAAAGUGCACCUUGACAUGAGAAUCUUGGCAGAACCACUUUAAUCAAGAGGUUUAGUUGAGCAUUAUCAGUAACAGAGUAAAUCAAAAUCAUGAGCCACUUGAUAGAUACAAUGAGAAAAUAAAGCAUCACUUCUGUGACACCCUAUAAAAAAUGAAUCUAAUAAUGAGGAAACAUUAGAAAAAAACCAAACUGAGGGAUAUUCUACAAAUAAAUGGUCCUGUAAUCUUCAAAAAUUUCAAGGUUAUAAAAGUCAAGAAAAACAGACAAUCUUUUCCAAACUCAGGGGAACUAAAGAGGCAUGAAAUCUAAAUGCUUAAUUCUGGAUUUCAUCUUUUUGAUAUAAAGAACAGUAUUGAGACUAUUGAUAAAAUUUGAGUGGGGUCUGAAGAUUCAUUGGUAGUAGUAAGCUCAAUUUAAUUUCCUCACUUUGAUCAUUGUACUCUGGUUUUUUAGAAUGUUCUAGUCAACAGGUAAUAUGAAUUAAACUAAUCGAGGGUGACAGGGCAUUAUAUCAGCCACUUAUCAACAAACAUUUCAGAGAAAAAUAGUUCCUUGUAUUGUUAUUGCAAUUUUCUUUGAGAUUGCCCCCUCCAAAACAGUAAGAACUUUCAAAAACAAACAAAUAUAUCAAGCCACAGAUUCAAAGUGCUAUAAACUCCAUGCAUGAUUAGUUCUCACUCAUAGGUGGGAAUUGAACAAUGAGAACACAUGGACACAGGAAGGGGAACAUCACAC